Molecule: ribosomal RNA, 479 nt
Filed under: Mystus bocourti
Lineage: Eukaryota; Metazoa; Chordata; Actinopteri; Siluriformes; Bagridae
Description: partial 12S ribosomal RNA
Rfam family: Bacterial small subunit ribosomal RNA
Source: RNAcentral
ACAUAUACAUCCGCCUGGGUACUACGAGCACAGCUUAAAACCCAAAGGACUUGGCGGUGUCUCAGACCCACCUAGAGGAGCCUGUUCUAGAACCGAUACCCCCCGUUAAACCUCACCACUUCUUGUUCUUCCCGCCUAUAUACCGCCGUCGUCAGCUUACCCUGUGAAGGCUUAACAGUAAGCAAAAUGGGCCCACCCAAAAACGUCAGGCCGAGGUGUAGCGUAUGAAGUGGAAAGAAAUGGGCUACAUUUUCUAUACUUAGAAUAUUACGAAUGAUGCAUUGAAACCAUGCACCUGAAGGUGGAUUUAGUAGUAAAAAGCAAAUAGAGUGUCCCUUUGAAUUAGGCUCUGAGACGCGCACACACCGCCCGUCACUCUCCCCUACAACAUACCAUAAUAAUAUAUAAUAAAUUAAUUACAAACACGGGGAGGCAAGUCGUAACAUGGUAAGUGUACCGGAAGGUGCACUUGGAAUAAU